Molecule: non-coding RNA, 44 nt
Organism: Schistosoma curassoni
Lineage: Eukaryota; Metazoa; Platyhelminthes; Trematoda; Strigeidida; Schistosomatidae
Source: Rfam
AUUGACUGACGAGUCCCAAAUAGGACAAAACACGCGUCCUGGAU